CAAGUCAACUGACUGGAGGUGUUAUGGCGGUGCCCAUAUGCUAGAGAUGGUGGGAAAACAUCGGGGUACAUGCUGGAGAGAGUCUCUGCACAUUGCAGGCAAUCAUGGAACAUGCUGCCAGGCUGAGGAUGUGACCUCCGGAGGCCAGCGCAUCAGAGCAUCAGCCUGGAUUGUGUUUGAAGAUCGCUUCAUUAAAUGUAAGUGGAGUGGAGAGGUGCAGCAAGAAGUCAGACGUCGGAUCCAGACAUGAUACUCGACAGGAGAAAUUUGUAUAUUCCGCUUGUUCAUGACAAGUAUUGCCAGAAUUACCAAGUCACUUCCAUUCUGUUUGAAGUCAAUAAAGUGAUCUUGUAAAUGUA
Molecule: long non-coding RNA, 359 nt
Organism: Pseudophryne corroboree (corroboree frog)
Lineage: Eukaryota; Metazoa; Chordata; Amphibia; Anura; Myobatrachidae
Exons: 2
Source: RefSeq, a predicted model, not a curated record